Molecule: ribosomal RNA, 1499 nt
Filed under: Weissella confusa
Lineage: Bacteria; Bacillati; Bacillota; Bacilli; Lactobacillales; Lactobacillaceae
Description: bacterial SSU rRNA
Rfam family: Bacterial small subunit ribosomal RNA
Source: RNAcentral
GAUGAACGCUGGCGGCGUGCCUAAUACAUGCAAGUCGAACGCUUUGUGGUUCAACUGAUUUGAAGAGCUUGCUCAGAUAUGACGAUGGACAUUGCAAAGAGUGGCGAACGGGUGAGUAACACGUGGGAAACCUACCUCUUAGCAGGGGAUAACAUUUGGAAACAGAUGCUAAUACCGUAUAACAAUGACAACCGCAUGGUUGUUAUUUAAAAGAUGGUUCUGCUAUCACUAAGAGAUGGUCCCGCGGUGCAUUAGCUAGUUGGUAAGGUAAUGGCUUACCAAGGCGAUGAUGCAUAGCCGAGUUGAGAGACUGAUCGGCCACAAUGGGACUGAGACACGGCCCAUACUCCUACGGGAGGCAGCAGUAGGGAAUCUUCCACAAUGGGCGAAAGCCUGAUGGAGCAACGCCGCGUGUGUGAUGAAGGGUUUCGGCUCGUAAAACACUGUUGUAAGAGAAGAAUGACAUUGAGAGUAACUGUUCAAUGUGUGACGGUAUCUUACCAGAAAGGAACGGCUAAAUACGUGCCAGCAGCCGCGGUAAUACGUAUGUUCCAAGCGUUAUCCGGAUUUAUUGGGCGUAAAGCGAGCGCAGACGGUUAUUUAAGUCUGAAGUGAAAGCCCUCAGCUCAACUGAGGAAUUGCUUUGGAAACUGGAUGACUUGAGUGCAGUAGAGGAAAGUGGAACUCCAUGUGUAGCGGUGAAAUGCGUAGAUAUAUGGAAGAACACCAGUGGCGAAGGCGGCUUUCUGGACUGUAACUGACGUUGAGGCUCGAAAGUGCGGGUAGCAAACAGGAUUAGAUACCCUGGUAGUCCACACCGUAAACGAUGAGUGCUAGGUGUUUGAGGGUUUCCGCCCUUAAGUGCCGCAGCUAACGCAUUAAGCACUCCGCCUGGGGAGUACGACCGCAAGGUUGAAACUCAAAGGAAUUGACGGGGACCCGCACAAGCGGUGGAGCAUGUGGUUUAAUUCGAAGCAACGCGAAGAACCUUACCAGGUCUUGACAUCCCUUGACAACUCCAGAGAUGGAGCGUUCCCUUCGGGGACAAGGUGACAGGUGGUGCAUGGUUGUCGUCAGCUCGUGUCGUGAGAUGUUGGGUUAAGUCCCGCAACGAGCGCAACCCUUAUUACUAGUUGCCAGCAUUUAGUUGGGCACUCUAGUGAGACUGCCGGUGACAAACCGGAGGAAGGUGGGGAUGACGUCAAAUCAUCAUGCCCCUUAUGACCUGGGCUACACACGUGCUACAAUGGCGUAUACAACGAGUUGCCAACCCGCGAGGGUGAGCUAAUCUCUUAAAGUACGUCUCAGUUCGGAUUGUAGGCUGCAACUCGCCUACAUGAAGUCGGAAUCGCUAGUAAUCGCGGAUCAGCACGCCGCGGUGAAUACGUUCCCGGGUCUUGUACACACCGCCCGUCACACCAUGAGAGUUUGUAACACCCAAAGCCGGUGGGGUAACCUUCGGGAGCCAGCCGUCUAAGGUGGGACAGAUGAUUAGGGUG